AGCGAACGCUGGCGGCAGGCUUAACACAUGCAAGUCGAACGAACUCUUCGGAGUUAGUGGCGGACGGGUGAGUAACACGUGGGAACGUGCCUUUUGGUUCGGAAUAACUCAGGGAAACUUGUGCUAAUACCGAAUGUGCCCUUCGGGGGUAAGAUUUAUCGCCAUUGGAGCGGCCCGGGUCUGAUUAGCUAGUUGGUGAGGUAACGGCUCACCAAGGCGACGAUCAGUAGCUGGUCUGAGAGGAUGACUAGCCACACUGGCACUGAGACACGGCCCAGACUCCUACGGGAGGCAGCAGUGGGGAAUCUUGCGCAAUGGGCGAAAGCCUGACGCAGCCAUGCCGCGUGAAUGAUGAAGGUCUUAGGAUUGUAAAAUUCUUUCACCGGGGACGACAAUGACGGUACCCGGAGAAGAAGCCCCGGCUAACUUCGUG
Molecule: ribosomal RNA, 433 nt
Filed under: uncultured bacterium
Lineage: Bacteria
Description: partial 16S ribosomal RNA
Rfam family: Bacterial small subunit ribosomal RNA
Source: RNAcentral